This 494-nucleotide ribosomal RNA is filed under the name uncultured bacterium. RNAcentral describes it as "bacterial SSU rRNA". It matches the Rfam family "Bacterial small subunit ribosomal RNA", at positions 28 to 521 of the family's 1533-position model. The record is from RNAcentral.
GAUGAACGCUAGCGGCAGGCUUAACACAUGCAAGUCGAGGGGCAGCACGUCUUCGGAUGGUGGCGACCGGCGCACGGGUGCGUAACGCGUAUAGAACCUACCUUUUACAGGGGAAUAGCCCAGAGAAAUUUGGAUUAAUGCCCCAUAGUAUUAUUGAAUGGCAUCAUUUAAUAAUUAAACAUUUAUGGGUAAAAGAUGGCUACGCGUUCUAUUAGCUAGUAGGUAAGGUAACGGCUUACCUAGGCAACGAUAGAUAGGGGUCCUGAGAGGGAGAUCCCCCCACACUGGUACUGAGACACGGACCAGACUCCUACGGGAGGCAGCAGUGAGGAAUAUUGGACAAUGGGCGAGAGCCUGAUCCAGCCAUGCCGCGUGCAGGAAGACGGUCCUAUGGAUUGUAAACUGCUUUUAUACAGGAAGAACACUCGGACGUGUCCGAGCUUGACGGUACUGUAUGAAUAAGCACCGGCUAACUCCGUGCCAGCAGCCGCGGU